GUCCCGUUCGUCUAGAGGCCUAGGACACCGCCCUUUCACGGCGGCAACAGGGGUUCGAAUCCCCUACGGGAUGCCA
This 76-nucleotide transfer RNA is filed under the name Francisella tularensis. Its description in RNAcentral is "tRNA-Glu". It matches the Rfam family "tRNA". From Rfam's summary of the family: Transfer RNA (tRNA) molecules are approximately 80 nucleotides in length. RNAcentral also lists the same sequence under 94 other names. Lineage: Bacteria; Pseudomonadati; Pseudomonadota; Gammaproteobacteria; Thiotrichales; Francisellaceae. The record is from RNAcentral.